AUGAGCUGCAGUGUUCUCUUCUAUGUUUUCCUAUGUCUCCUGGGGGCAGCACUCACAAACACUAAAAUUACCCAGACACCAAGAUAUCUGGUUAUGGGAAGAGCAAGUAAGAAGUCUUUGAAAUGUGAGCAACAUCUGGGACAUAAUGCUAUGUACUGGUACAAACAGAAUGCUAAGAAGCCUCCAGAGCUCAUGUUUUUGUACAACGUUAGAAAACUGAUUGAAAACACGACUGUGCCCAUUCGUUUCUUACCUGAAUGCCCGGACAGCUCCCAUUUACUCCUUCACAUGUCUGCCCUGGAGCCAGAAGACUCAGCUGUAUACUUUUGUGCCAGCAGCCAAGACACAGCCCUGCAGAUUCAUCAGCUCUCUGUGCACAAACCUACAAGUUCAGGAAGCUGUGGGGCAGCUGAGGGCUCCACUGAACAUUUCAUGUAG
This is a non-coding RNA of Psammomys obesus (fat sand rat), 438 nucleotides long. NCBI's taxonomy places the organism in Eukaryota, Metazoa, Chordata, Mammalia, Rodentia, Muridae. The record is from the annotation of a RefSeq genome assembly.